This 460-nucleotide ribosomal RNA is filed under the name uncultured bacterium. RNAcentral's name for it is "partial 16S ribosomal RNA". It matches the Rfam family "Bacterial small subunit ribosomal RNA", at positions 338 to 795 of the family's 1533-position model. The record is from RNAcentral.
CCUACGGGGGGCAGCAGUGAGGAAUAUUGGUCAAUGGACGCAAGUCUGAACCAGCCAUGCCGCGUGCAGGAAGACGGCUCUAUGAGUUGUAAACUGCUUUUGUACGAGGGUAAACGCAGAUACGCGUAUCUUUCUGAAAGUAUCGUACGAAUAAGGAUCGGCUAACUCCGUGCCAGCAGCCGCGGUAAUACGGAGGAUUCAAGCGUUAUCCGGAUUUAUUGGGUUUAAAGGGUGCGUAGGCGGUCGGAUAAGUUAGAGGUGAAAUCCCGAGGCUCAACUUCGGAAUUGCAUCUGAAACUGUUCGGCUAGAGUGUAGUUGAGGUAGGCGGAAUGUAUGGUGUAGCGGUGAAAUGCUUAGAGAUCAGACAGAACACCGAUUGCGAAGGCAGCUUACCAAGCUACUUCUGACGUUGAGGCACGAAAGCGUGGGGAGCAAACAGGAUUAGAUACCCCAGUAGUC